Molecule: ribosomal RNA, 490 nt
Filed under: uncultured bacterium
Lineage: Bacteria
Description: partial 16S ribosomal RNA
Rfam family: Bacterial small subunit ribosomal RNA
Source: RNAcentral
GAUGAACGCUAGCUACAGGCUUAACACAUGCAAGUCGAGGGGCAGCAUGGUCUUAGCUUGCUAAGGCCGAUGGCGACCGGCGCACGGGUGAGUAACACGUAUCCAACCUGCCGUCUACUCUUGGACAGCCUUCUGAAAGGAAGAUUAAUACAAGAUGGCAUCAUGAGUUCACAUGUUCACAUGAUUAAAGGUAUUCCGGCAGACGAUGGGGAUGCGUUCCAUUAGAUAGUAGGCGGGGUAACGGCCCACCUAGUCUUCGAUGGAUAGGGGUUCUGAGAGGAAGGUACCCCACAUUGGAACUGAGACACGGUCCAAACUCCUACGGGAGGCAGCAGUGAGGAAUAUUGGUCAAUGGGCGAGAGCCUGAACCAGCCAAGUAGCGUGAAGGAUGACUGCCCUAUGGGUUGUAAACUUCUUUUAUAAAGGAAUAAAGUCGUGUAUGUAUACCCGUUUGCAUGUACUUUAUGAAUAAGGAUCGGCUAACUCCGUG